UCUCUUCCACCCCUUUAUAUAUCUUUUGCAUAAGGCAGGAAUCCUUUUGUCCCUCUCUUGAGUUCCCACCCACUCCCUCUCAAUGGAAAGUCAUUCAGUGGAAGGA
This is a long non-coding RNA of Gopherus evgoodei (Goodes thornscrub tortoise), 106 nucleotides long. RefSeq lists it as uncharacterized. The transcript has 3 exons. The record is from RefSeq and is a predicted model, not a curated record. Lineage: Eukaryota; Metazoa; Chordata; Testudines; Testudinidae.